This 270-nucleotide ribosomal RNA is filed under the name uncultured bacterium. RNAcentral describes it as "partial 16S ribosomal RNA". It matches the Rfam family "Bacterial small subunit ribosomal RNA", at positions 88 to 354 of the family's 1533-position model. The record is from RNAcentral.
CCGGCGACCGGCGCACGGGUGAGUAACACGUAUGCAACCUGGCCGUGACAGAUGGAUAACCGGGAGAAAUCCCGCCUAAUACAACAUAAUGCCGGGAGGGGACAUCCCCUGCCGGCCAAAGGGGGCGACCCCGGUCACGGAUGGGCAUGCGGCGCAUUAGGUAGUUGGCGGUGUAACGGACCACCAAGACGACGAUGCGUAGGGGUUCUGAGAGGAAGGUCCCCCACACUGGUACUGAGACACGGACCAGACUCCUACGGAAGGCAGCAG